UGCUCAACCCUGUGGUGACAUUUAGAUACCUAGAAAUUCCUUCUUUCGGCAGUGACAUAUAUCAAGAAGGCUGACAGCUCUGAACAGUAGUUAAAGUGAGAGAGAAUUUAUCAGCCUUCCUAUUAACUACAAAUUUAUGGGAUGUUUGAAAGUUGCAAGUGAACUCUUAGGGCCAUGUUAACGAAGUGGCCUUUAACUUGAAAGGGAUGUGUAGCUGAACUGUAUCUUUGAGACUUGGCAUUUUAAUGAAGUUUCAUCCCAUUUGAACAGAAGCAAGGAGGACCAGCAAAAAUGCCAUGUCUGCUAGACAUCUGAUGAUUUUUGUCCUGGGAGAGGAAAGGUUGGGCUAUGUCAUAGCCCACACAUUUUUAGCCAUUUAUCUGUCCUAUCCAGUACCCAAAGGCAUUCAUGCUUCCAGCACUGCCUACUUCAGAUUCUCCAGUGUGCCACCAGUAUCUAAGGAUAAAGACAUUAUGGACAUAUCCAAACUUAUGACACCGCAUUACCAAUUCAUUUACUUUCCUGACAUUUCCAAGGGAUCUUCUACCUUUGUGACCUUUAGAACAAUAGAUUAUUUAUGUAGGUAUUUCAAAAGAUGUACAGUGCAUUAAAAUUACUGAAGCAUUUUGUGGGCUGGUGGGGGCCCAGAGAAGCCUCAAGCGUAAGGAAAAUAGUGUUCCUCUUUUAGUUACUUUUGAAACGGCUUAAAUCAUCUACAGAAUAAAGGUUACACUAAUAAAUGUCUCAUUUGUUUUAAGUGUUCUGAAAUGUGAACACUUCUGUGGAACAUAUAAAAUCAUAUACGCUAAAUGGGCUGUGGUGAAUACAGUGAGUAGAGGUAAUUUCUUUUCCAGUUGCUCCUUCUCCUUGACCAAUUUAAAACUGGAGUUGAGUUAGGAGUAAGGAAAAUAGAGGCAGAUGUUGUUAUCUCUGAGGUUGGAAUUUUCAAAAUGUAUGGUUACCAAAGGGGAAGGGUGGGGAGGGGAAGGAUGGACUGGGGGUCUGGGAAUGGCAAAUGCAAACUUUCGUAUAUGGAAUGGUUGAUCAACGCAGACCUGCUGUACGCACAGGGAAAUCUAUUCAUUGUUCCGUGAUAACAUAUAUAGGAAAGGAUAUGUGUAUAUACAUAGCUGAAAGACUUUGCUAUAUAUAGCAGAAAUUAACACAUUUCAAAUUAACUGUACUUUAAUUAAAAAAUAAGAAUUUUUAAAUAUCUGGUUUUCAUUAACUAGUGUGGCACAAAGGGAUGCCAUGAAGUGAACAUGCUAUUUUUUCCAACAUACUCUUUUAUCAUUUUCUUCUGUACUUACUAUGGUUGAGAAAUACAAAACUAUUUAUAGUUCCCCAAACACGUCAUGCCUUUGUGCAUGGUUUGUCUAAAAUGUCUAUUCCCUUGUCCAUCUUGUCAUCUUCCAUUUGUCCUUCAAAACCCAACUGCUCUAAGAAGCCCAACUGCUAUGUAACUAAUCAAAGUCUUCCAUACAUCAAUUCUGGAUGUGUAUUUUCAUCCUGUAUACAGUAUUGCUUACCCAUAUGGAUUCAGAAGUCAGACUGCUAGAUUACAAACCCUGACUUUACUGUUUAUUUAUUGCAGCAUCCUGGCUAAGCUUCUUAACCUGUAUGUGCCUUUUAUCCAUAUAAAAAAUGAAAUUAUCAAUUCCACAUGGUUUUUAUCAAUAUUCUCAAGAUAUAUACAUGAAAAUAAAUUUACAGCACAACUUGAUACAAAGUAUUCAGUAAAUGUUCUUUCUCAUUUUAUCUCUACAUUACAUAUAUCACACAGAACAAGAAAUAUGUGAAAGAUACAAAGAUUUUUCACAUUAAGAUCAUUUUAAUUAUUAGUAUCUUAACUGGUAUAUAAUGGUUCUUCUGAUACACUGAUACUCAAGACCAUGUAGCUGAUUAUUUGGCAUAGUCUGGCAACAGUUCUGUCUGGCUUUCAGCCUUCAUUAAACUCUCAAGGAAUGUUGACCUCAGUUUCUUGCUUUCUCACACAAAGGAAGAUUCAAUCAGCAAAAAUCCCUGUAUUAUAUUCUUCCUCAAAUAUUAUAAAAUGGAGUUUUAAGUCUUUGGAAUGUUUUGAUUCUACCACAGUUCUAAAAUCAAAGGACUUAAAUGUUCUAGGAAAUUGGUCACCACUACAGUAAACAUAAUAAAAACCAAUAAAAAUUAGCCUAAUAUUUUUUCAUGAAUGCCUUCAUUCAACCAAUUUUUCAGAAAUCAGGCACUGUGCUAAAACAGUGAUUCAUAACAAAUGUACACAGGAAGCCUAGAGUUACCCAAAGCCUCCUUUGUUACUUAGUAGAGGUCCUGUUUUUAGGUAACAAAAUGAAAAGCUAGGAGAAAGGCCAGCUGAGCUAUGAGACAGAAAACAAAAGAGCUUUCAAGUCCAGCCAUGUUAUUUCUCAUUUUCUAAAUUCUACCAAAUCACAGUUAUGAUUACUAUUAGUAGUAAAAUAGUAGCAGCAGGACUUUGCUUGUACUAGUUUAGAUAGGUUCUGUGAACUUGCAAAUGGAAGAUUACUGCUCAUACACCAGACACGUUUCAUCAUCCAUAAAAGGGUCAUAAUAUGCAAAACAGUACUAAUCAAAGGAUCGAGUUCUUUUAUUCUUCGAAGUAUGUUUCAAAUACUUAUCUUACACCUGUUGCCACUUGAGACACUGGGAUACAGAAGUGAAGUACAGUUAAGUCUGUACCCUCAUGGACCUCACAUUCCAGGUGUUUGGGAUGAUCCAGGGGUCUGAUACAUGGUAGAACUACAACAAAGAUAGAUCCUUUCCCUUUUACCCCUCUGAUGUCAUCUGAGUAACCCAGUGCCUUUGAUAGGACUCUCAAGAAAAUACAAUCUGACAUUUACGAAAAUGGGAAGUUUCAGCCAUGAAGGUAGAACACAACAUCUAUCUUCAGUUAUUUGACAAGAUCCCACAUAGCAAGAAAUUAAAAUGCCUUACAGGAUUACGAAAAAAGAACCAAGAAUAAUUAGAGGCACUUAUGUCUUAAUGUAAGAAAUUCUUUCAGUAAAAUCAUGCUUUUCAUGAGGUCAGGGACCGUAUCUGUUUUAUUUCCCAUUAACACUAAGCCUAGGGCAUGGUGAGCUUCAGUAGAUUUCUGUUGAGCCAAAUAAUGAAGAGUUAGUAGACUGAGUAAAGGAAUGAUAUAGUAAGUUGUUUCAUAUAAGUUUUAUCUUUCCAUUCACUUGAGCUUUUCAAAGAAUCUGUGCACCCUCCCCACUAAAAGUCCUCAGCAAGUAGAAUUAAAGAAUCUGAUUGGGCUCAGUGACCUUUAGGGUCCUAUUUGCCAUUCAAUGCUCAGAUCCUUUUUCUAUGAUUCUAUACUUCAUUAUGGGUUAUUUUAUUUUUUCAAUUUGCAAUGAAGCUCCUCUCCAUUUACAUCAACAUUACUGUGUUCUGCUCUAUUAGUCUCUUAAUCUCUUUGCUAAUUCCCAUAUGUUGCUGCAUCAUUUAAUUAAAGGCUGCACUGCCAUGUGGCUGAAACCCAAUGUCCUUUCCUGAAGGGAGCACACUCAGGCUUGUGGGAAUGUAGUGGUUCUCAUUCUGCUGGAAUUUUAUGAAAGCUGGGCUAUACAUUUCUAUUUUUUUUUUCUGAAAGAAAAUUCAUGCUGGUAUCAAAAAGAAUCAAAUUUCCAGAAAUGUUGACAUUUGCUCUUUAUUCAUUUUCAGAUAGGGAAAGUAGGGUAAAAAUAGUACUCCAAAACAUUGAUACUAUGUUUUGAAAGUACCUCACAGGAGACUUUUACCCAAUCAAGGGCUUAGUCCUUACUAAUGGCAUGACUUCAGCAAUGACCAUAGCUUCUUAGAACGUGAGAUUUCUUGCCAAUCAAAUGAUGAAAUUCAGUUCUCUCUUACUAUUUAUAGGAUACUUUUCUACAGUUUUUCAAAAAUUAAAUCUAAUUCUAAGACCAUUCUAUAAAGUAGUUUUGAAGUUGUGUUUGCAUUGUAAUUUAUAGAAGAUCUAUUUUACAGUUUUAGGAGGUUAAUAAAAUCUUUUGACUUGUAUACUAUAAAAUGCUCUGUAAAUUGUUGGGAAAAAAAACCUUAAUUACAAAAUCCUUAAGAAUUACCUAACCUACAUUAAUCUUAUACCAAACAUAUCUGAUGAAACAGCUCAUGAUUUUUUUCUAUACACAGGCAAUAUUUUUUUAACAUGAUGCUCUUUAUUAUCAGCCAGAAAGAACAUCUAUUGUGUUUCCAUGACAUUU
This 4220-nucleotide long non-coding RNA is filed under the name Sus scrofa (pig). Its description in RNAcentral is "lncRNA (ENSSSCG00000049308.1)". Lineage: Eukaryota; Metazoa; Chordata; Mammalia; Artiodactyla; Suidae. The record is from RNAcentral.